AGAGUAAAAACGACAAGAAACUGGAGGACAAUGUUACAAGAGAGAGUCACUGCGCUUAGCGCUGCAUUCUUUUUUUAAAAGAUAAAAAAAUAAAGCGAAGCACCUAAAAGAGUCUCGUAGCUCAGCUGGUUAGAGCGCUACACUGAUAAUGUAGAGGUCGGCAGUUCGAGUCUGCCCGAGACUACUUUAAAUGACAGGGUGUUUUUUUAGAUUUUAAAAAAUGGAAAUUCUAGAGGUUGGGAUUCUGCUUUUAGGGGUCCUUAUAUGGGAUAACCACGAAAAGAGGGGGAAUUAGCUCAGCUGGCUAGAGCACUUGAUUUGCAUUCAAGAGGUCAUCGGUUCGACUCCGAUAUUCUCCACAACCAUGUGUAUUUUUGUUUUGCUAUAAGGCAGGGCCAAAGUUCAUUUGAGAGGCUGUAUUUUGAGAGAUAGCAUAGGCUAUUUGGAAAAGUAGAGUUAAAAAACGUUCAUUGACAUAUUGAAAGAAUACAAGAAGUAGAAUCAAUUAAUAACAAUUGGUUGUACGAGCAAAUAGAUAAAAACAAAAACUACAAUUUUAAAAAUAGAAAGAGUAGAAAAGUUAC
RNAcentral lists this transfer RNA (584 nucleotides) under uncultured Flavobacteriaceae bacterium. Its description in RNAcentral is "16S-23S ribosomal RNA intergenic spacer". The stretch from base 111 to 184 matches the Rfam family "tRNA". Lineage: Bacteria; Pseudomonadati; Bacteroidota; Flavobacteriia; Flavobacteriales; Flavobacteriaceae. The record is from RNAcentral.